AUACAGGUUUGCGCAUUCAUCGUUCAAUCGUUCUAUUAUGAUUCAUUUACCCAUUUACGUUAUCAACAUCUGGUCAUCAAAAUAAAAAAUUGUCUAUAGUCUAGUUCUUUUGCUGAUAUGGUAAAAUUUGCCUUCUGAUCACUUAAUUAUUACUUUUCUCUGUCCUUAUUUCGGGAAUAAAUAGUCACUAGAUUCUUUUGAAUCAUCUUACAGUUCUUAAUCGUUUCUGUAUUACUUUGCUUUUGUGUGAUUAACCGUCGAUUAUUUAUUUUGUCUUACAAAAUGAAAGCUGAAACAAAAAGAUUCAAUAUCGUUUUACCCAAAUUGCAAGUCGAAAGCGAAAGCAACGGAAGAUGUGUAAUCAAAGUGAACGACGAGUAUCUAUUUGUGAAUAAUUGGGUCAGCAAAAGAAACACAGCCGACAAGGUACUGAAAGAAAUACAAGUACAGAAGCUAGAUAACAUGAGGAAUACUAGAUAUUAACGAUGUUAGGCAAACUUUACAAACUACAUUUGUGUUUGAGAUUUCCUAACAUGUCUUUGUCGUUUUUAAUUUAUUAUAAAUUUACUCUUAAGCUUAAGACAUUUUUUACUGAUCUGGAACUGUGUUCCAUAUUGUGAUUAAAAUUGUAUUACUGAUAAAUUAACCCAGUUUUGAGCACAAAGGCGAACUGAGUAAUCAGUGUAUCUCGCCAAGGCAAUAAUGUCAGGCAGUAUGGGCCACCAAUUGAAACAUCAUAAGAUGAUAAGUUGGCACAAAUAUUAGAAUACUAAUAUGAAUUAUGAAAUUUGCAGGCAGAAAAUAAAUUGCAUGUACCUCAAAGUACAUUUAUUUACAUUAUUACUGGUUGAUUUUUGUAAUUAUUCGUGGAAUUUUGUUCGAAUCAUUUUAUUAUUAUAACUUAGAAAUUAACUCGCUGCAAUUAAUUGUUAGAUAUUUAUUUUUUUAAUAAUGAAAAAUUUUAAUUUAUUGACGUUAUUUAAGUUGUGAAAAUCGAUUGAAUAAAAAUUUACUCGAUGCU
This is a long non-coding RNA of Planococcus citri (citrus mealybug), 1021 nucleotides long. RefSeq lists it as uncharacterized. NCBI's taxonomy places the organism in Eukaryota, Metazoa, Arthropoda, Insecta, Hemiptera, Pseudococcidae. The record is from RefSeq and is a predicted model, not a curated record. The transcript is spliced from 2 exons.